Rhinopithecus bieti (black snub-nosed monkey) is the source of this 1097-nucleotide long non-coding RNA. The record is from Ensembl. NCBI's taxonomy places the organism in Eukaryota, Metazoa, Chordata, Mammalia, Primates, Cercopithecidae.
AGCCACUGUGACCUCGCGCCUGGGCCUCACUGCCGCAGCUGGUGCCUCCGUGUGCCACAGGCGCCUCAGGCAGAAACCUCACAGAGGUGAUUUUGAUAUUUUCUGAAACAAUUAAACGAUCCUGUGCUUUUUCCCCCCAGAACGGAGAAAAAAAUGGCUCGUGCCAAAACAGUCGUGAACUCCAAGACUCACCCUCCCAAGUGCAUUCAGUGCGGGCAGUACCUGGACGACCCCGACCUCAAAUAUGGGCAGCACCCACCAGACGCGGUACGUGCAGCUCUCUUCCCAGCCUUCCUCUGCCCAUCCCUCGUCCCUCUGCUCACCGGCCCUGUGUCCUUCAGGUGGAUGAGCCACAGAUGCUGACAAAUGAGAAACUGUCCAUCUUUGACGCCAACGAGUCUGGCUUUGAGAGUUAUGAGGCGCUUCCCCAGCACAAACUGACCUGCUUCAGGUAAGUGCACUUUCGUGUGUGUGUGUGUAUUUCGUAGAAGGAGGCACUUCCCCAGAGGCGUCUACGGGCUCAAGAUUACGGUUUUUAGGGCCUGACCUGCAACAUGUCUUAAGCUAACACUUCGUGGAUAAGAGCCACCUUGGAGGGCUGGGCGCGGUGGCUCAUGCCUGUAAUCCUAGCACUUUGGGAGGCCGAGGUGAGCAGAUCACUUCAGGUCAGGAGUUGGAGACCAGCCUGGCCAACAUGGCGAAACCUACUGAAAAUACAAAAAGUAGCCAGGUGUGGUCGUACGCGACUGUAAUCCCAACUAACUCGAGAGGCUUAGGCAGGAGAAUUUCUUGAACUCUGGAGGCAGAGGUCGCAGUGAGCUGAGAUGGUACCACUGCACUCCAGCCUGGGCGACAGAGCAAAACUCCGUCUCAAAGAGCCACCGUGGAAAACACGGUGAAGGGACAGUAGAGCUUUGCUGAUUUUUGGUUUGGUUUUUGGGUUUUGACACUACACAUAGUACCCUCCAUUCUGCCACAUCCUGAGGGCCACACGCUCAGAUGAAGGCCUGCUCUGUGCUAGGUACCAGUGAUCUAGGUGUCGAUGUAGCUGCUCAGACCCUGCCUUCACGGAGCCAAAAAUGGAUGAUACCUGUCGG